AGAAUUGAUCUGGUCAGGACGAACGCUGGCGGCGUGCCUAACACAGUGCAAGUCGAGCGGGGACAUUGCGACGGGACGAAGUACUCGUACGGAGUCAAAGAUGUAAUGUCUAGCGGCGGACGGGUGAGUAACGCGUGAGCAACCUGUCCCUUACAGGGGGAUAACACAGCGAAAGUUGUACUAAUACCGCAUGAGACCACAGUAUCACAUGGUGCAGGGGUCAAAGGAGCAAUCCGGUAAGGGGUGGGCUCGCGUCCGAUUAGAUAGUUGGUGAGGUAACGGCCCACCAAGUCGACGAUCGGUAGCCGACCUGAGAGGGUGAUCGGCCACAUUGGGACUGAGACACGGCCCAAACUCCUACGGGAGGCAGCAGUGGGGAAUAUUGGGCAAUGGGGGAAACCCUGACCCAGCAACGCCGCGUGAGGGAAGAAGGUUUUCGGAUCGUAAACCUCUGUCCCAGGUGAAGAGGAAGAGACGGUAGCCUGGGAGGAAGCCCCGGCUAACUACGUGCCAGCAGCAGC
Molecule: ribosomal RNA, 521 nt
Filed under: uncultured bacterium
Lineage: Bacteria
Description: bacterial SSU rRNA
Rfam family: Bacterial small subunit ribosomal RNA
Source: RNAcentral